Molecule: ribosomal RNA, 985 nt
Filed under: Bacillus amyloliquefaciens
Lineage: Bacteria; Bacillati; Bacillota; Bacilli; Caryophanales; Bacillaceae
Description: bacterial SSU rRNA
Rfam family: Bacterial small subunit ribosomal RNA
Source: RNAcentral
GCGCAGGGAAGUGUUUGUGAUCGCUGUGGCUCCCUGAUAGUUAGCGGCGGACGGGUGAGUAACACGUGGGUAACCUGCCUGUAAGACUGGGAUAACUCCGGGAAACCGGGGCUAAUACCGGAUGGUUGUUUGAACCGCAGGUUCAGACAUAAAAGGUGGCUUCGGCUACCACUUACAGAUGGACCCGCGGCGCAUUAGCUAGUUGGUGAGGUAACGGCUCACCAAGGCGACGAUGCGUAGCCCACCUGAGAGGGUGAUCGGCCACACUGGGACUGAGACACGGCCCAGACUCCUACGGGAGGCAGCAGUAGGGAAUCUUCCGCAAUGGACGAAAGUCUGACGGAGCAACGCCGCGUGAGUGAUGAAGGUUUUCGGAUCGUAAAGCUCUGUUGUUAGGGAAGAACAAGUGCCGUUCAAAUAGGGCGGCACCUUGACGGUACCUAACCAGAAAGCCACGGCUAACUACGUGCCAGCAGCCGCGGUAAUACGUAGGUGGCAAGCGUUGUCCGGAAUUAUUGGGCGUAAAGGGCUCGCAGGCGGUUUCUUAAGUCUGAUGUGAAAGCCCCCGGCUCAACCGGGGAGGGUCAUUGGAAACUGGGGAACUUGAGUGCAGAAGAGGAGAGUGGAAUUCCACGUGUAGCGGUGAAAUGCGUAGAGAUGUGGAGGAACACCAGUGGCGAAGGCGACUCUCUGGUCUGUAACUGACGCUGAGGAGCGAAAGCGUGGGGAGCGAACAGGAUUAGAUACCCUGGUAGUCCACGCCGUAACGAUGAGUGCUAAGUGUUAGGGGGUUUCCGCCCCCUUAGUGCUGCAGCUAACGCAUAAGCACUCCGCCUGGGGAGUACGGUCGCAAGACUGAAACUCAAAGGAAUUGACGGGCGCCCGCACAAGCGGUGGAGCAUGUGGUUUUAAUUCGAAGCCAACCUUACCAUCGUGACAUCCGCUGAAUCCUAGAGAUAGGACGUCGCUCUUCGGGCAGAGUGAC